Molecule: ribosomal RNA, 996 nt
Filed under: Ustilaginoidea virens
Lineage: Eukaryota; Fungi; Ascomycota; Sordariomycetes; Hypocreales; Clavicipitaceae
Description: LSU rRNA
Rfam family: Eukaryotic large subunit ribosomal RNA
Source: RNAcentral
UCAAGAGUUGACCUCGAAUCAGGUAGGAAUACCCGCUGAACUUAAGCAUAUCAAUAAGCGGAGGAAAAGAAACCAACAGGGAUUGCCCCAGUAACGGCGAGUGAAGCGGCAACAGCUCAAAUUUGAAAUCUGGCCCCCCGGGGCCCGAGUUGUAAUUUGUAGAGGAUGCUUCUGGCGAGGUGCCUUCCGAGUUCCCUGGAACGGGACGCCAUAGAGGGUGAGAGCCCCGUCUGGCUGGACGCCGAGCCUCUGUGAAGCUCCUUCGACGAGUCGAGUAGUUUGGGAAUGCUGCUCUAAAUGGGAGGUAUAUGUCUUCUAAAGCUAAAUACCGGCCAGAGACCGAUAGCGCACAAGUAGAGUGAUCGAAAGAUGAAAAGCACUUUGAAAAGAGGGUUAAACAGUACGUGAAAUUGUUGAAAGGGAAGCGCUCGUGACCAGACGUGGGCCUCGGCGGAUCAUCCAGCGGUCUCCCGCUGGUGCACUCCGCCGGGCCCAGGCCAGCAUCAGUUUGCCCUGGGGGAUAAAGGCUCCGGGAACGUGGCUCCUCCGGGAGUGUUAUAGCCCGCCGCGCAAUACCCUGGGGCGGACUGAGGUUCGCGCAUCUUUUGCUAGGAUGCUGGCGUAAUGGUUAUCAGCGGCCCGUCUUGAAACACGGACCAAGGAGUCGUCUUCGUAUGCGAGUGUUCGGGUGUCAAACCCCUACGCGGAAUGAAAGUGAACGCAGGUGAGAGCCCUCUGGGCGCAUCAUCGACCGAUCCUGAUGUUCUCGGAUGGAUUUGAGUAAGAGAGCAUACGGGGCCGGACCCGAAAGAAGGUGAACUAUGCCUGUAUAGGGUGAAGCCAGAGGAAACUCUGGUGGAGGCUCGCAGCGGUUCUGACGUGCAAAUCGAUCGUCAAAUAUGGGCAUGGGGGCGAAAGACUAAUCGAACCUUCUAGUAGCUGGUUUCCGCCGAAGUUUCCCUCAGGAUAGCAGUGUUGAUCUCAGUUUUAUGAGGU